AUUGAACGCUGGCGGCAUGCUUUACACAUGCAAGUCGAACGGUAACAGGCCUUCGGUUGCUGACGAGUGGCUAACGGGUGAGUAAUGCAUCGGAACGUACCCAGAGGUGGGGGAUAACGCAGCGAAAGCUGUGCUAAUACCGCAUGUGAUCUGAGGAUGAAAGCGGGGGACCGAGCAGCAAUGUUUGGCCUCGCGCCUUUGGAGCUGCCGAUGUCGGAUUAGCUAGUUGGCGGGGUAAAGGCCUACCAAGGCGACGAUCCGUAGCUGGUCUGUGAGGACGAAAAGCCACACGAGAAAGGAGAAACGGCACAUACUCCUACAGGAAGCAGCAGUGGGGAGUUUUGGACAAGAGGAGCAAGACUGAUCCAGCAAUGCCGCGUAGGGGAAGAAGGCCUUCGGGUGGUAAACCGCGUUUGGCAGGAACGAAACGGUGUCCGCUAAUACCGGGCGAUAAUGACGGUACCUUCAGAAUAAGCACCGGCUAACUACGUG
RNAcentral lists this ribosomal RNA (492 nucleotides) under uncultured bacterium. RNAcentral's name for it is "partial 16S ribosomal RNA". It matches the Rfam family "Bacterial small subunit ribosomal RNA", at positions 29 to 507 of the family's 1533-position model. The record is from RNAcentral.